This 341-nucleotide unclassified non-coding RNA is filed under the name Hevea brasiliensis (rubber tree). Lineage: Eukaryota; Viridiplantae; Streptophyta; Magnoliopsida; Malpighiales; Euphorbiaceae. The record is from RNAcentral.
GGAGACCUUAGUGCAACAACAACUUUUUCCUCCUAUUCUGGUCCACAAGAAAUGCUACACCUUCUCUUUUGAACAAGCUAAAGAUCAUAGACACUCGUUUAUAAGAAAUGAGAAUCACACACCCAAUGCGUUACAAGGCUUGAAACAUCGUAACUUUCAAAUGGGUAUUGAAUAUUUCAAUUAGCAAUCAAAAAUUAAGGUCCCAACAACCAGAUGAUUGCAUAUCAACAUGGAAAACAAGCACAAAAUUUGAUGAUAUAAUAUAAGAGAAGUGAAGAGACCUGGUCUGUCGUGAAAGAGAUUAGAAAAAGGCUGCAUGGAUUGAAUAAAGCGAUCUCCAA